AAAAAAAAAAAGUUUUUGCCACUUUUGAACCCGUAUCAAAUCUAAAUUGGGUUGGAUUUGACCCAUUUUGAAAGUCCCAAUUGUCAACACAAUUAAUUUCCAAAUUCUCGUCCCUCCCUACAACGCUAAUCACCCAAAGUGUUCUUGCCAAUCCACAUAUUUUGCUUGCUUCUAAUAGUUUAAUAGAUAAACAGAUAAUUAAUUGAUUCUCUAACCGUGAAUCCCUUACGAUAACUUCAGUAAUUUGCAGACAUAUAUAUAUAUCACAGCCAGGUUGUGAGGCAAAAGAUGACCGCUAAUAUCCAAAAAUUCCGAUCUCUUUCAACCACUGUGAAUCAUAGUUUCGAGUCAAGAUGGAUCUUGCAUCACUAUCGCCUCCUGCAUCAUGGUCCAGAUACAAUGGAGGAAUUAUUGGAUAGACACGUCGUCAAAAAGGAGAAGAGCCUGGAUGAUGACAAGAACGAGCUCCUAAAUAGACAGCGACUCACUGGCAGUCGACGCGAGGCUCUAAGUCUAUACCGAGACGUCAUCCGCGCUACCCGGUUCUUCAUGUGGGCCAACUCUCAAGGCAUAAUUUGGCGGGAUGUUCUCAGAGAAAAUGUCCGAAAGGAAUUCGAGGAGGCACGAUUUGAGAGAGAUCCAGAAGUCAUCACCAGGUUGCUAAUUGGGGGUCGGGAUGCUCUACAAGCUGCUUUGGAAAAACUUGCGGACAAACAAAAGCAAGAAAUCGAAAAGCAACAUGGCAAUUCAAAUACUCCUUGAUAUUCUGCCGCGGUCAAGUUAGUCGUCAAUUGGUCGACUCUUUGGUACGUAGUAUUUAAGAUCUUUAAUUCAGAUGGACUUUUGGUCGAUGGGACUCCAAUCAAUAAAGUAAGGUUAAGUUUGCAGGAAAGUUACAAUUAGCACAACUUCACCAUGUUGGGAUAUAAAUGCAUAACCAAAAGCACUAAUAAUUUGUGUCCCUUACAAAAGACUGAUGGAUGAACACAGAAAUCAAUCAGAAGAAGUAGAUAAAAGAGAUGUGAAAGGGAAGUCUGAUGGGCUUUGAAGUAGGGAGAUGCAUAGGUACCGGGUAACUCUGUCCACCAAGACUUGGAUGGAUCAAGACAUCGCCUAGUGUUUUUUUUUUUGUCUCCGUUGGAUUUGAAACUAAGACCUUGUGGUUCUCAAUCACACAUUGACCACUAGGCCACACCCUUAGGUGCAUGACAGUCUCUUCUUUGCGCUCCAGUAUCAUGGUUUUGUCCGGACUCUGGAUGAUAGCAAUUUGUAGCAAUACAUGAUGGUUAUGAUUCACCAUCUUAUCAUACUUCAUAUUAUAAGUUUGGAAGUUGGAAUUGUUGUCAUUAUUGUUAGACAUGUUUAUUUGAUGAAUGUAUAACUUCUUUGCAAUCAAACUUAAUUAUCUAUCAUGCAUUAUUAGUACUUUUCAUUGCAUAGUUAGCAGAGCCAAAUUGUAAAAUGUAGGUUGACAUUCGAAAAAAAAAAAAAAAGCUUUAUUUUUUGAGUAAAUAGCUUUCCUCGUGUAGAAUUGAAAGUAGCCAAUCAGAUGGAGAACUAGAAUCAUGUUUAUGAGCUCGCGAAGUUUGGUUAUUGGUCACAAAUGAAAAUUUAGCCCCCUCCUUGGUAAGGGCGGUGUGGGGGCAGUGGAAAAUUUUACUGUUUGAAGCUUAUGUACGUUAGUUAAACAAUCGAGUCUCUUUCCGAUCCACUCUUCUUUCUCCAUUGUUAAAUGAUACUAUUUAGCUAUGUUGAUUGUGCAGGUGUUAUGAAAUGUACAGUGAUAGUUCAAGAA
RNA transcript from Lycium barbarum (goji berry), 1795 nucleotides. RefSeq lists it as uncharacterized. The record is from RefSeq and is a predicted model, not a curated record. Lineage: Eukaryota; Viridiplantae; Streptophyta; Magnoliopsida; Solanales; Solanaceae. The transcript is spliced from 4 exons.